Molecule: long non-coding RNA, 567 nt
Organism: Ictalurus punctatus (channel catfish)
Lineage: Eukaryota; Metazoa; Chordata; Actinopteri; Siluriformes; Ictaluridae
Source: Ensembl
CGCGCGCGCAGGCGGCACCGUGUCGCUUCAGCUGCACUCACACAGCCGCAACACGAGCACAUCGGAAAAGUGCAUCUCUAGCCUACAGCAUCGCCAAAUCCAUCCGAUCACUACAAUCACAACAGUGCCGCGUUUCACCGAGAGGACACACAUAACCGGCGACGUCGUGGACCGAAAUCGGAGACCUGGCUCCUUAAAAGCUCUUCGUAUGAUCCGGACUGCUGUGCCCCAUUCACUGGGCUUUCUUUUAGGUGAUCGGGAAAUAUUCGGUACGUUUUCUUCAAACUUCAGCCGACAAAGACUGCACACAAGCCGGAGCGCGGUUGGGCGCGGGGAAGCAUGGAAUAGACAGAAGUGAACGGUUAAGAGAACCCCUGCUUCCUUGUCUAGUUUAAAGACGCAGUAAUCAGCAGCUCGGUCGGGUCAGAAAUCUUCAAGCAAGACUCGUGUGGACGGAUAAGGACCGCAAGAUGUCCAUUCCGAGAGCAUACUCUGCUCUGAUUGGUCAGAUGUCCCAGUCUGUUGUGAUUGGUCCACCGCUGUUAGCGAGCAGCCGAUGAAGACCAG